RNAcentral lists this long non-coding RNA (1464 nucleotides) under Nicotiana tabacum (common tobacco). RNAcentral's name for it is "long non-coding RNA (NTAB_LNC007573)". The record is from RNAcentral. Lineage: Eukaryota; Viridiplantae; Streptophyta; Magnoliopsida; Solanales; Solanaceae.
CGCAUAUAUAAAGCUCUCAAAUUUCACACUAUCACCACACCUCCAAUUGUAUAAUCAUACAAUUAACAGAAAUACAAUGGCCAGAUUGACUUCCUUAAAAUAUUCAGCUGCAAUUCUAAUAUUGCUAUAUGCCUUGACCUUUUCAUUCUCAGUGAGUGCACGACCCGCCACUUUUUUACAGGACUUUAAGGUCUCUUGGUCCGACUCUCACAUCAAACAAAUUGAUGGUGGCAGGGCCAUUCAGCUUAUUCUCGACCAAAACUCAGGCACGAAUUCAAUUUUUUUUUUCUGGUAUAGGUUUAAUGUCAUACCCAUGCAUGAGUUAUGAAAAUGAUAAUUUACUGAUACUUUUAUUUCAGGAUGUGGGUUUGCUUCCAAAAGCAAAUACCUCUUUGGACGUGUUAGCAUGAAGAUCAAGCUCGUACCUGGUGACUCUGCUGGAACCGUCACUGCCUUUUACGUACGUAAGAACAGAGUUGUUAAUUUUAUACUAGACUUCAUGUUCAAUAAAAAUUCUGCAUGACAUUUUUUUGCAGAUGAACUCGGACACAGACAACGUAAGGGACGAACUAGACUUCGAGUUCUUGGGAAACCGGUCAGGCCAGCCGUAUACUGUCCAGACGAAUGUUUAUGUUCAUGGAAAAGGUGACAAGGAACAAAGAGUCAACCUUUGGUUCGAUCCAUCCGCUGAUUUUCACACUUAUACCAUUCUUUGGAACCACCACCACGCCGUGUAAGUAGACAUAUAUUGUAAAAUUGAUAAAAACAAGGAUUUAAGUUAUAUAUGGAGUACUAACUAUAGAAAUUUAGUUAUGACUAACUUACUUCACCAGAUGCAAGGAAAUAUUACUGAUAAACUGUUUAUACUAUUGAAGAUUCUACGUGGAUGCGGUACCCAUUAGAGUCUACAAGAACAACGAAGCAAAAGGAAUUCCAUUCCCCAAAUUCCAACCCAUGGGAGUGUACUCAACAUUGUGGGAAGCCGACGACUGGGCAACGAGAGGUGGAUUAGAGAAAAUAAAUUGGAGCAAAUCCCCAUUUUACGCAUAUUACAAGGACUUUGACAUAGAGGGAUGUGCAAUGCCAGGACCAGCAAACUGUGCCUCAAAUCCUCGCAAUUGGUGGGAAGGAGCUAAUUACCAACAACUCAGUGCUGCGGAAGCAAGGCAAUAUCGCUGGGUUAGAAUGAACCACAUGAUCUAUGAUUAUUGCACCGACAAAUCCAGAAAUCCAGUCACCCCACCAGAAUGUGUGGCUGGAAUAUGAAACUUUACAUCAACUGUUAAUUAUUUAUACAUAUUCAUUCCUACUUAUAGAUAUCCGUACAUGUGACCCUACAAAAGAAAAUUGUUAUAUUUGUAUUGAUAUGGACAGUCAUGCUCAUGUCUGGAUGCUCGGUGAUAUUGUGAACGUGAGAUGAGUACUAAGAUUAAGGAGUGGGAAAAAGUCAGAUGUUUAUUGCUG